This 205-nucleotide ribosomal RNA is filed under the name uncultured bacterium. Its description in RNAcentral is "partial 16S ribosomal RNA". It matches the Rfam family "Bacterial small subunit ribosomal RNA", at positions 570 to 774 of the family's 1533-position model. The record is from RNAcentral.
CGUAGGUGGUUUGAUAAGGGUGUGGUGAAAGCCCGGGGCUCAACCCCGGGUCUGCCGUGCCGACUGUCAAACUCGAGGGCUGUAGAGGCAGACGGAAUUCCGGGUGUAGCGGUGGAAUGCGUAGAGAUCCGGAGGAAGACCGGUGGCGAAGGCGGUCUGCUGGGCAGUUUCUGACACUGAUGCGCGACAGCGUGGGGAGCAAACA